This is a long non-coding RNA of Cyprinus carpio carpio, 2252 nucleotides long. The record is from Ensembl. Lineage: Eukaryota; Metazoa; Chordata; Actinopteri; Cypriniformes; Cyprinidae.
GGAAAAUCUGAAAAAAUCAAGAUCUCGUCACAUAAAUAUGAUUUGAAUAAAACUAUCUUUUGGCUCAUACUAGCUUUUGGCUCAUUUUCUUUUGGUCGGGAAGUCAAUGGUGACUGGACUGAAGACCUAUCACUGGAUGAACAUCAGACUGUAGAGUCAUGAGUUAUAAAGUCAGGAAAAAAGUCACUGAGAAAAAAAACAAAUUUUUUUUUUUUCUUUUUUUUUUCAGUGGUGGAAACAGGCUUCCAUAGGUCACUGAUUGACAUUUUAUGACACCACCUGUUAUUUAUUUAUUUACAGACUUCAGUUCAUGCCGUUAUGAAAUCAGCACUCAGCUGGGAAGGCUUUUGAACUGUUUAUGCAGCAACUCGUUUGGACAAUGGCCUUCAGGCAGCAGUAAAACUCGCCUCCAGCAGGAACAUGAAUUCAUCAGCAUUGCACAGAAGAGUACAGCCCUCCCGAGUAUCUGUUCACUGGCAAGUACCACGGGGAACCGGCCACGGUGUGGUCACACGGGAUACUCUUGCUUGUAAUACUCUUCUGGAAAUUUCAGAGGAGACGAGACCUUUGCAAGAUCAAUGAUAAAAUCUGGACCAAAGAUGGCUUGUUGCAAUGUGAGGUCUUCAUUUCAGCUUCAUUUAUUUACUCUAAAUCUUACUAGAACAAAUAUAUGAGGCAGAAAAAGCAACUUCUGAGUCUAGUGGCUUAGUUGAUGUAAUUUUGAUAAAUUUACUGUCAAUCAGAAGAUUUUAGUGUGAAGUUUAAGGUAAUAAUCAGACUAAAAUCUCUCUAAAAUCUAGCGCUGUCACAUUGUGAAACUGAAUGAUUUGUAAAUUAUGCUUGGCGGGCCAUAUUAUACGCUUCAAUAGCUGUGGGCCAUUUGAAAUUCAUCCAUGGGCUGGACUUUGGACACCCCUGCCUUAUCAUAUCUGAUAUUUUGAGAGACUUAGUGACUUUGUGAAUGUUUGAGUGUUUUUGCUCUAUAUUUCACCAAUAAAAAUGUCCAAAUAAAAAAGGGCAUCUCCCAGCAUGAUUCAGCAUUUUUGAAAUAAGGUAAAAUUACAGUAUGUUAAUAUAAAUAUAUAUAUAUUAAAAAUACAGAAACUAAAUUAUUUAAAAAAGUGAAGCUUCUGAAAGCACUGAAGGAAAUCCCAUAUUAAUGUAAUAUAGAUUUCGAGUAGUAACAACAAAUGACAUUUUAUUAUAUGAUAUGAUUAAUAUUAAAUAGGAUAGUUUCAUGAUAAAAAUGGUGAUUAUCUCUAAUGUGGGGACAGCCAGCCUAAUAUAUAUUAGCACCUAUGACACAGCCUUGAAUGUCAGCAGAGACCAUGUUGACUAGACCUCUUCACCUCGACGACUAUCGGCACAAGACCACAGGAACCAGAUCAGUCCUCCGCACAAUCUGACCUGUGUUGCAGCCUGGAUUUAAACCAUGCCAGGCUGGUUUUGUCUGGCCAGAGAAGAACUGGCUUCCUGACUGAGCCUGGUUUCUUUUAAGUGUUUUUCUCUCCACUGUCGCCUUUGGCUUGCUUAGUUGGGGACGCUUGACAGAUUGCACAGACAUUAUUGGAAGAGAGCUGAACUGGAUGAUGACACCAUUGAAUCAUCAAUGAACUGGCUUUAGCUGGAAAAUGACUCUGUUAUUGUCUUCUUGCGUUAUUGACAAACUAUUAUCCUGUUUGACACUGUAAAGCUGCUUUGACACUAUCAGUUUUGUGUUUAAGUGCUAUAUAAAUAAAGGCGACUUGACUUGAUUUACCAUCUGAAUCUAACCAUGUCAACAAAUGGAAAAGUCAGCCAGCUAUUUAUUAUCACGUUAAUAAUUGUGCCUAUCAACCCAACAGCAGGGGCGCCUUUUUACCCCAAAUACCAUACUUUUACAUAUUCUUCCAUUAUUAUUUAAUUACAUUAAACAAAACUGUAAAUCAUUAAUAAGGCCUAGCUUUGACUCAAAAUAUAUUCAGUAAUUUUAGCGAUUCCCAUUUGCUACUUAAAUCUACUAAAUUUUUAAUGAUGCACGUGCAUCUUGAAAAGCGGAUGUCUUAGAAAGUGUUUUUAUCUAGUGGUUUAAAUGAAAAUAAAAUCAAAGCAGCUUUUAUUCCCGUUGUACCCUACAUAGCUUUACACACUGGAAAAUGUAUUUUUGCUGAUUAUAUAAUUAUAAAUGAUAACAGAAAUAACUAGGGAUGUAACGAUUCACUCAACUCACUAUGCGACAAAAUACACGACACUGAUUGCACGAUACGAUUUUC